This is a long non-coding RNA of Ictalurus punctatus (channel catfish), 308 nucleotides long. NCBI's taxonomy places the organism in Eukaryota, Metazoa, Chordata, Actinopteri, Siluriformes, Ictaluridae. The record is from Ensembl.
CACACCUGGACCUCCUGGUAGCUCAUCUCUCUCCUCUCCACUCGACUCUGAGACACUUGGAAAGGAAAUGGCCGUCAGCUGGGCUGUAGAGGAAGUCGUUGAGGGCGGAGCAGAUAAGCAGGCGGGGCUGAAAUUCCUGACGUUCCUGCUUCUGUCACAUGGGUGUGUCACAUGACCUUCCCGAGCACCGAGGAUCCGGUCAUGUGUGAGUCAUCCUUCUUCCUAACGACAAUGAGAGAACAUGCAUUAUUCAGUUAAUACAGAAGGGUUCAUUAAGGGUUUAUUGGAUAAUUAAGUGUUAAUCUGAG